UACGUAGGGGGCAAGCGUUGUCCGGAUUUAUUGGGCGUAAAGAGCGUGUAGGCGGCCAGACAGGUCCGUUGUGAAACUAGAGGCUUAACCUCUAGACGUCGAUGGAAACCGUUUGGCUAGAGUCCGGAAGAGGAGAAUGGAAUUCCUGGUGUAGCGGUGAAAUGCGUAGAUAUCAGGAGGAACACCUGUGGCGAAAGCGGCGCACUGGACCACAACUGACGCUGAGGCGCGAAAGCUAGGGGAGCAAACAGG
RNAcentral lists this ribosomal RNA (252 nucleotides) under uncultured bacterium. Its description in RNAcentral is "partial 16S ribosomal RNA". It matches the Rfam family "Bacterial small subunit ribosomal RNA", at positions 524 to 776 of the family's 1533-position model. The record is from RNAcentral.